This is a small nuclear RNA of 163 nucleotides. Its record names the gene U1. It matches the Rfam family "U1 spliceosomal RNA". Rfam says of the family: U1 is a small nuclear RNA (snRNA) component of the spliceosome (involved in pre-mRNA splicing). The record is from Ensembl.
AUACUUCCCUAGUGAGGGAGAUAUGGCCAUGGAUUAAGGUACUUGGUCCCAGGGGAGGCUCAUCCAUUCCACCUUGGGUAUACAGAUCCCUGAGAUUUCCCCAAAUGUGGGACAUUCUACUGCUUAAUUUCUGGCAACAGAAGUGCAUUCAUGCUUUCCCCUU